GGACGAACGCUGGCGGCGUGCCUAAUACAUGCAAGUUGAGCGCUGAAGGUUGGUACUUGUACCGACUGGAUGAGCAGCGAACGGGUGAGUAACGCGUGGGGAAUCUGCCUUUGAGCGGGGGACAACAUUUGGAAACGAAUGCUAAUACCGCAUAAAAACUUUAAACACAAGUUUUAAGUUUGAAAGAUGCAAUUGCAUCACUCAAAGAUGAUCCCGCGUUGUAUUAGCUAGUUGGUGAGGUAAAGGCUCACCAAGGCGAUGAUACAUAGCCGACCUGAGAGGGUGAUCGGCCACAUUGGGACUGAGACACGGCCCAAACUCCUACGGGAGGCAGCAGUAGGGAAUCUUCGGCAAUGGACGAAAGUCUGACCGAGCAACGCCGCGUGAGUGAAGAAGGUUUUCGGAUCGUAAAACUCUGUUGGUAGAGAAGAACGUUGGUGAGAGUGGAAAGCUCAUCAAGUGACGGUAACUACCCAGAAAGGGACGGCUAACUACGUGCCAGCAGCCGCGGUAAUACGUAGGUCCCGAGCGUUGUCCGGAUUUAUUGGGCGUAAAGCGAGCGCAGGUGGUUUAUUAAGUCUGGUGUAAAAGGCAGUGGCUCAACCAUUGUAUGCAUUGGAAACUGGUAGACUUGAGUGCAGGAGAGGAGAGUGGAAUUCCAUGUGUAGCGGUGAAAUGCGUAGAUAUAUGGAGGAACACCGGUGGCGAAAGCGGCUCUCUGGCCUGUAACUGACACUGAGGCUCGAAAGCGUGGGGAGCAAACA
Molecule: ribosomal RNA, 764 nt
Filed under: Lactococcus lactis
Lineage: Bacteria; Bacillati; Bacillota; Bacilli; Lactobacillales; Streptococcaceae
Also listed under: 1 other name
Description: bacterial SSU rRNA
Rfam family: Bacterial small subunit ribosomal RNA
Source: RNAcentral